UUACUGCUCCCUCCGUUUCAAAUUAGUUGACUUGAAUUUGUCUAAAUAUGAAUGUAUCUAUACUUGUUUAGUAUCUAGAUACAUUCGUGUUUAAAUUAAUAUUGGUCAAAUAAUUUGGAACAGAAGAAGUAAAAG
Triticum aestivum (bread wheat) is the source of this 135-nucleotide non-coding RNA. NCBI's taxonomy places the organism in Eukaryota, Viridiplantae, Streptophyta, Magnoliopsida, Poales, Poaceae. The record is from Rfam.